UACGGAGGGUGCAAACGUUGCUCGGAAUCAUUGGGCGUAAAGCGCACGUAGGCGGCUCGUUAAGUCGGGUGUGAAAGCCCUCGGCUCAACCGAGGAAGUGCAUUCGAAACUGGCGAGCUUGAGUAUGGAAGAGGGUCGCGGAAUUCCCGGUGUAGAGGUGAAAUUCGUAGAUAUCGGGAGGAACACCAGUGGCGAAGGCGGCGACCUGGGCCAAUACUGACGCUGAGGUGCGAAAGCGUGGGGAGCAAACAGG
This 253-nucleotide ribosomal RNA is filed under the name uncultured bacterium. RNAcentral describes it as "partial 16S ribosomal RNA". It matches the Rfam family "Bacterial small subunit ribosomal RNA", at positions 524 to 776 of the family's 1533-position model. The record is from RNAcentral.